CAGAGAACGUUCUGAGCGUCAGCUGCAGGAUGAUUGCAACCAAAGUACCGAAACCACCUCCGCUUGUUGCAGCGCUGAGCCAGCCUUGCUGAAGCCCACUAGGAGAGCGUGACCUUGCACCAACCUCUCCCUCACAGCUCCUGGAGGGGCCCUAGGUCCCCCCUGGCAGUUAAGUGGCGAUUGGUUGCUUUAUGGCUUCUAGAUCUAAAUCCAGGCCCAGGGAUGAAAAUAUCGCCUUACGGUCUCAUGAAUCCAGUGAGGUAGAUCUUAUAGCUCCAUAUUUGAGAUGAAGAAACUCUGACUCAGUGAGACUCGCCAACUUCCAAGGACACACAAUGAGUAAGGGACAGAGUGAGAACUUGAACCCAGGCCUCCUGGCUCCUCAAUGCUGCAGAAUACCUCCUCCCAAAUAACAGCAGAUAUCCUCCACCCCAUCUUCUAGAAGGGGAAACCGGAAGUCAGAGAAGAUUUAUGAAGAAUAACUCUUUCUGUAGUGAGGCAGAACAGAAAGAGGGGCAGCCCAAAUUGGCGUCUCAUCUGGAGAUCAUGGAGUCAGAUGGCAAUCACAAUAAUCGGCUUAGUCACUGGUGAAGGCUGGGUGCGCGGCCACAGAAGGCUUCCUGGUCCUUCACCCCCCAGUUGGACAGACGUUGCCAUCCCGGCACUGACAGAAUUGGACAUAUCAAAGAACAGAGCAGAACAAACUCUGCACAGCAACGUCUGAAAAAAGAGGAGAAACACCCUAUUCUUUCCCCUGACUCACCAAUCAGGUUGGUGAAUACAUUCACAUUCCAGGAGGGUGUGCUCCCCACCUCCAUGAGGAUAGAAGCUCCUAUGCUCAGGAUGGACACUUCCAAGCUUCAUUCUGUGUACUUCUUCAUCUGGCUGUUGGUUUGUAUUCUUUAUAAUAUCUUUUAAAAUAAACUGUCAUAGUAAGUAAAGUGUUUCCCUGAGUUCUGUGAGCCAUUGUAGCAAAUUAUUGAGCCCAAAGAGGGGUCAGGGAACGCUUAAUUUUUAGCUGGUGGGUCAAAAGUAUGGGAGGCCCAAGACUUGUGAUUGGUGUCUGAAAUGGGGGGCAAUUUUGUGGGACUGAGCCCUUAACCUAUGGGGUCUGCACUAACUCAGGUAGUUAGUGUCAGAAUUUAAUUGAAUUGUAGGAUACUCUUUGGUGUUCAGAGAGUUGGAGAAUUGAUUGGUGUGGGAUAAAACACCCACACAUUUGAUGUCAGAAGUACUGUGUGUAAAAACAAAUCCGAGACACAACAGAAAUGUUAGGUGUUUUCUAUGUCUUAAUCUCAUUACAUGCAAGAAUGCAACUUUUGCUAAUUAUUUCAUAACUUUGAACCUGACAUACCAUCUUCUGGGGAAAAAAACUAUUAGCAAAAAUGGGUAACAUUUCUGUAGAAAAGAAUCAUUGUGUUAUGGUGACAAUGAUAAGGCUUCGAAGCCAGAGAUAUAGGGGUUCAACUCCUUGCUCUGUCAAUUAUGCAUUUGGGUUUGGUGAAGUUACUUAAACCCUUAAGCCUUCAUUUCUAAUAUGAGAUUUAAAAUUGUAACUUAGAAUUGUAAAUAUUUGUAAACAUUCUGGUAUAUAAUUGGUGCUAAUAGGUAGCUAUUGUUACUAUGAGUCCACUGGAAAUGCAGAAUGAAUAUUGUGACUAACCGCCCAUUCUACCAGGAGGCUGGCAGCAUGUGUGAGUUAGUUUCCUAACAGGACAGUUUCAAACUUUGGUCUUUGUAACACACGGCUCAAAGGUUGGUGAGAGAGCUCGCUUUCAUAACAGCUUCUGAAAAUAAAGUCUCUACCUUCUGGCAGAAAUAGCAGUAUCUAAAAUGGACUUGCAUGGUUCCUAACACAUUAUAGGCACUUCAUUUCACACAAGGUUCAUUUGGGGGAGUAUAUUUUAAAAGUAUCACACUCGUUAAAAAUUAUGGAUAGCAGUACAAAAAUACCAAUACAGUAGUCAUGGUGGAUGGUGUGCUAGUCUCCCAGUUGCAUUGUUUGCUGAAGAUGGAAAGAGUCUGCGAGACAUUUCUCCUGGUAACUGAUCAUUCUGUCAAGGCUCAGGAUUUUCAGUGUUGAAGAAGAGAAAGCUGUUUGACUUUUGUUGGUUGGCAGAGAGAAUGAAUACCUUGGAAAUCAUUCAGGUGGAGGAUUACUUCAAGAAGAGCCUGACCUUCUGGGACAGCUCAGUGCAAAAGCAAAUCCUUCCAAGACUCCUGCCACCAUAGAUUGGGUUUGUCUGUCUUUGAAUUUUAAAUAAGUAGACUCAUACAGAUGUAUUCUUUCCUGACUCAAAUUAGUAUUUGUGAGAUUCACUCAUAUUGUUAUAGGUUAUAGUGGACCAAAAAGCAUGCUCUGCUGGCAACAGGAAGCUGGUCUCAGUGGCAGGACUGCAAAUAAGGAAGGGGCGUUCCUUGGCCCCUUCUGCAAAGCCAGU
Molecule: long non-coding RNA, 2441 nt
Organism: Hipposideros armiger (great roundleaf bat)
Lineage: Eukaryota; Metazoa; Chordata; Mammalia; Chiroptera; Hipposideridae
Exons: 6
Source: RefSeq, a predicted model, not a curated record